ACCAUUCCACUCUUCACUAGCUUCUGGACUUCAUAUUUGACUGGAUAGCAAUUCUCAAUGUCAUGUCCAGGUGCUCCUUGAUGAAAAGCACAAUGGAGGUCUGGUUUGUACCACCAUGGAAGUGGUUUAGGGAUUUGUGGAGGAUUUCUCGGUUGUAGUAGGUUCUUGAGAACCAAUGAUGGAUAGAGCUCUGCAUAUGUCAUAAGAAUCGGGUCGAAAGAGACCUUCUUCCUCUAGAAAGUUUGUUGUUGAUGAUUGUUG
RNAcentral lists this long non-coding RNA (261 nucleotides) under Lathyrus oleraceus (garden pea). Its description in RNAcentral is "Pisum sativum (pea) long non-coding RNA (PSAT_LNC035030)". The record is from RNAcentral. Lineage: Eukaryota; Viridiplantae; Streptophyta; Magnoliopsida; Fabales; Fabaceae.